Molecule: non-coding RNA, 1046 nt
Organism: Vigna umbellata (rice bean)
Lineage: Eukaryota; Viridiplantae; Streptophyta; Magnoliopsida; Fabales; Fabaceae
Source: RefSeq, a predicted model, not a curated record
UAAAAAGCUGAACUACAAGGGUCUCUGUCACCUUUCUUCUCUCACACUUCUUCACUGCCACAACCUUCAAUGUUUACCGGUGGAGGGUCUACCCAAAUCCAUCUCUUCUCUCGCAAUUCGGGGUUGCCCAUUGCUCCAACUGCGUUGUCAGAAGCCAAAAGGCCAAGACUGGGUAAAGAUUGCUCAUAUUGAAGAAUUGAUUAUUGGAUAAUAAGAUGAAGUAGAAGAAAGUUAGAUGUGUAUAAUUCCCAAUAGUCUGUCUCUUCAAGAGCUUGUUGUCAUGGCAGUUGACAUUGUGAAGCUUUAGCAUCGCCAUUUAAUUGGAAAAAUCUGAACAUGCAGCUCUACAAAGUUUGUAUGCUGAUGGAUCCGCUCAUUCUUUUUGUUGGGUUUUGAUUUUUAAGUUAAUGAUUUAAAUGGAAGCAGAAGAGCCCUGUGCUAAUAUCGCUUUCUUGUUUACAUUAUCCGUGUUUAUGCCUGGAGGUAGUAGAAAACAGCCUCUUCAGCUGGCCCUGGAUUCUCAGCAUGACACUGAACAAUGGACUUUUCCAUGAGCAGAAACGAAACUGGAUGAAAUUUAAGGUAAAAGAUUGCAAGUUGUGUAUAUGAGACGUGAAUAAAAGAAUUCAAGAGCACCAUCCAAUGGAAUUUUACCUGUGACGAUGUGCGAUCCAAUGACAAUUUUACCUAUAACGAUAUGUAGGAAAUUUUUGCUAAGUUAUGAAGUGUAUUAAUGUGUUCGGCCAGCCAUGAAAAUUUUACCCAUGACAAUGUACAGUAGCUUUGGCUAAGUUACGAAGCAUAUUUACGUGUUCGGGAAGAAGGGAUAGGUACUGGUAAGCGGUACUACGCUCCUCCUCCUGUAAAGUCUCUAGAUAUAGUGCUAAUAGUGCCCCUCAAGAGAGGCUUGUUGCCUGCAAGUCUAUCUUUUCGUCUCCUUCUCUGUCGGUAAUGUGUGAAUAAAAUGUAAUUGCAUUCAGAUCUUAGUAUAGGCCAUUUGCAUUGUAUUAAUUGAAUGAUUUUAUCAUGCAUUAUCUUUUUUUCUU